RNAcentral lists this ribosomal RNA (253 nucleotides) under uncultured bacterium. RNAcentral describes it as "partial 16S ribosomal RNA". It matches the Rfam family "Bacterial small subunit ribosomal RNA", at positions 524 to 776 of the family's 1533-position model. The record is from RNAcentral.
UACGAAGGGGGCUAGCGUUGCUCGGAAUCACUGGGCGUAAAGCGCACGUAGGCGGAUUGGUAAGUCAGGGGUGAAAUCCUGGAGCUCAACUCCAGAACUGCCUUUGAUACUGGCGAUCUUGAGUCCGGGAGAGGUGAGUGGAACUGCGAGUGUAGAGGUGAAAUUCGUAGAUAUUCGCAAGAACACCAGUGGCGAAGGCGGCUCACUGGCCCGGUACUGACGCUGAGGUGCGAAAGCGUGGGGAGCAAACAGG